GUGGGGUGAAUCAUGGUAACCUAACGAAUGGCAUGGCCUGACCGCAAUGUCAUCAAUUUCUGCCUAUCACUCGACGGUACGUAGUGGCGUACGUGUGCACCGGUACGAGAUAGGGUCGAUCGAGAGGGAGCAUGAGAAUCGCUCCCACAUCACGAAGCAGCAGGCGCGCAAAUACCCAAUCCGAUACGGGGAGGUAGUGACAAUAAAAUACUGAUACAGGGCUCUUUUGGGUCUUGUAAUUGGAAUGAGUACAAUUUAAAUCCCUUAACGAGGAACAAUUGGAGGGCAAGUCUGGUGGACAUCCAGUCCCGGAGGGAGGCACGAACGCCUCCCUCCUCGCUGGCGCCAGCAGUAGCAGACCCGUUCUGCUAGUCGAGCAUCCGCAACUUUCGGCGGGGGAUGCCGGCGAGACAACCUGGAUCGGGGGAGGCUACCGGGCGAUCAGCCCCAUGCUAAUCCCGAGCGGAGCACCGAGGGAGUGAUCCUUCGGCUGCCCGUGUAGAGCGCGCAAAGGUGUCGGUGGGCCUUCGGGCCUGCUUGAGGGACGUGCCGUCCCCUGUGAAAACAGGUCGUUGUCCGGAGUGCCGCCGCACAAAGGACCGCGAGCCGCUGGGCUUCCCGCCCGCGGUGGAUCCCCCAUUGAACGGCCAGCAGCCGCGGUAAUUCCAGCUCCAAUAGCGUAUAUUAAAGUUGUUGCAGUUAAAAAGCUCGUAGUUGAACCUUGGGCCUGGCUGGCCGGUCCGCCGCAAGGCGUGCACUGGUCCGGCCGGGCUCCUCCUUCUGGUGAACCCCAUGCCCUUCACUGGGCGUGGUGGGGACCCAGGACAUUUACUGUGAAAAAAUUAGAGUGUUCAAAGCAGGCCUUUGCUCGGAUACAUUAGCAUGGAAUAAUAAAAUAGGGCGGGCCCCCUAUUUUGUUGGUUUCUAGGGGAGCCGCAAUGAUUAAAAGGGUCAGUCAGGGGCAUCAGUAUUCAAUCGUCAGAGGUGAAAUUCUUGGAUCGAUUGAAGACUAACUACUGCGAAAGCAUUUGCCAGGGAUGUUUUCAUUAAUCAGGAACGAAAGUUAGGGGAUCGAAGACGAUCAGAUACCGUCGUAGUCUUAACCAUAAACUAUGCCGACUAGGGAUCGGAGGGGGUCUGCUAGAGCCCCCUUCGGCACCUUACGAGAAAUCAAAGUCUUGGAUCUGAGUAGAGCCAUUUUCCCCUCCCCAAUAUCGCAUGC
RNAcentral lists this ribosomal RNA (1222 nucleotides) under Zeloasperisporium wrightiae. Its description in RNAcentral is "bacterial SSU rRNA". It matches the Rfam family "Eukaryotic small subunit ribosomal RNA", at positions 241 to 1116 of the family's 1831-position model. The record is from RNAcentral. Lineage: Eukaryota; Fungi; Ascomycota; Dothideomycetes.